Molecule: ribosomal RNA, 233 nt
Filed under: uncultured bacterium
Lineage: Bacteria
Description: partial 16S ribosomal RNA
Rfam family: Bacterial small subunit ribosomal RNA
Source: RNAcentral
CGGGACGGGGUGAGUAAUGUCUGGGAAACUGCCUGAUGAGGGGGAUAACUACUGGAAACGGUAGCUAAUACCGCAUAACGUCGCAAGACCAAAGAGGGGGACCUUCGGGCCUCUUGCCAUCGGAUGUGCCCAGAUGGGAUUAGCUAGUAGGUGGGGUAACGGCUCACCUAGGCGACGAUCCCUAGCUGGUCUGAGAGGAUGACCAGCCACACUGGAACUGAGACACGGUCCAG